UACGUAGGGGGCGAGCGUUGUCCGGAAUUAUUGGGCGUAAAGAGCGUGUAGGCGGUUCGGUAAGUCUGUCGUGAAAUCCUGGGGCUCAACCCCGGGCGUGCGAUGGAUACUGCCGGGCUAGAGGGUGGUAGAGGCGAGUGGAAUUCCCGGUGUAGCGGUGAAAUGCGCAGAUAUCGGGAGGAACACCAGUAGCGAAGGCAGCUCGCUGGGCCACACCUGACGCUGAGACGCGAAAGCUAGGGGAGCGAACAGG
This 253-nucleotide ribosomal RNA is filed under the name uncultured bacterium. Its description in RNAcentral is "partial 16S ribosomal RNA". It matches the Rfam family "Bacterial small subunit ribosomal RNA", at positions 524 to 776 of the family's 1533-position model. The record is from RNAcentral.